AACGAACGCUGGCGGCAGGCCUAACACAUGCAAGUCGAACGCUCGUAGCAAUACGGGAGUGGCAGACGGGUGAGUAACACGUGGGAACCUUCCCUAUGGUUCGGAAUAGCUCAGGGAAACUUGGGGUAAUACCGGAUAAGCCCUUCGGGGGAAAGAUUUAUCGCCAUUGGAUGGGCCCGCGUCGGAUUAGCUAGUUGGUGAGGUAACGGCUCACCAAGGCAACGAUCCGUAGCUGGUCUGAGAGGAUGAUCAGCCACACUGGGACUGAGACACGGCCCAGACUCCUACGGGAGGCAGCAGUGGGGAAUAUUGGACAAUGGGCGCAAGCCUGAUCCAGCCAUGCCGCGUGAGU
Molecule: ribosomal RNA, 352 nt
Filed under: uncultured bacterium
Lineage: Bacteria
Description: bacterial SSU rRNA
Rfam family: Bacterial small subunit ribosomal RNA
Source: RNAcentral